This 170-nucleotide non-coding RNA is filed under the name Pteridomonas danica. Lineage: Eukaryota; Dictyochophyceae; Pedinellales. The record is from RNAcentral.
UAAGUAUAUAUAGAUGGAUAGAUGGAUAGACAUAUAAACAUAGAUAGAUAGAUAUAUGUUUAUUAAAAAUUGAAAAACAACCUAAUAAAAUUUCUUCGAUGUUUUCUUUUGUUCUUUUGGUCUUUUUCUUUUGGUUUUAUUUGUUUUUUUUUUCUUUUUCUUUGGAUGUG